CCUAUAAGACUGGGAUAACUUCGGGAAACCGGGGCUAAUGCCGGAUAAUAUUUAGAACCGCAUGGUUCUAAAGUGAAAGAUGGUUUUACUAUCACUUAUAGAUGGACCCGCGCCGUAUUAGCUAGUUGGUGGGGUAAUGGCUUACCAAGGCAACGAUACGUAGCCGACCUGAGAGGGUGAUCGGCCACACUGGAACUGAGACACGGUCCAGACUCCUACGGGAGGCAGCAGUAGGGAAUCUUCCGCAAUGGGCGAAAGCCUGACGGAGCAACGCCGCGUGAGUGAUGAAGGUCUUCGGAUCGUAAAACUCUGUUAUUAGGGAAGAACAAAUGUGUAAGUAACUGUGCACGUCUUGACGGUACCUAAUCAGAAAGCCACGGCUAACUACGUGCCAGCAGCCGCGGUAAUACGUAGGUGGCAAGCGUUAUCCGGAAUUAUUGGGCGUAAAGCGCGCGUAGGCGGUUUCUUAAGUCUGAUGUGAAAGCCCACGGCUCAACCGUGGAGGGUCAUUGGAAACUGGGAAACUUGAGUGCAGAAGAGGAAAGUGGAAUUCCAUGUGUAGCGGUGAAAUGCGCAGAGAUAUGGAGGAACACCAGUGGCGAAGGCGACUUUCUGGUCUGUAACUGACGCUGAUGUGCGAAAGCGUGGGGAUCAAACAGGAUUAGAUACCCUGGUAGUCCACGCCGUAAACGAUGAGUGCUAAGUGUUAGGGGGUUUCCGCCCCUUAGUGCUGCAGCUAACGCAUUAAGCACUCCGCCUGGGGAGUACGACCGCAAGGUUGAAACUCAAA
RNAcentral lists this ribosomal RNA (790 nucleotides) under uncultured Staphylococcus sp. RNAcentral's name for it is "bacterial SSU rRNA". It matches the Rfam family "Bacterial small subunit ribosomal RNA", at positions 129 to 905 of the family's 1533-position model. Lineage: Bacteria; Bacillati; Bacillota; Bacilli; Caryophanales; Staphylococcaceae. The record is from RNAcentral.